AUCAUUCAAAUGCUUCUAGACAGCGUAUCCUUCCUUUUCUCACCAUGGACCACAUUCUUUCCACAGGUCCCUUUGAUGAGGCUGCAGCUAACCCAGAGAAGGAGGGUCGUCUUCUCCUGAGUUGUUGUAUCCUUCACGGUUUUUCUACUUGCAGGGCACCCUCUUCAGUUAUCCUCAGCCAUAAGGGUGGUGAUUUUGACUGGAGGAGGAAGCAGCUUGCAGAUCUUCUCAAAGACUCCCCAAGCCUGGCACUGAAGGGAAUUACAUUUACAGACCACUCCACUGUAUAUUUUUCAUCAGCUCAUCUGAGCAGACCAGACUACCUGCAAAUUACAUAUGAGAUUUCAAUAGGCAAAGUAUAUUCUUAUACGUGUGUUUGCAUGCGCGUGCACCCACACCAGCAUUUUGGGGACACCUGAUUCAAAGCAGGCAGGAGUUCAGCUCUCAGAAUGACACAUUUUAACUGUUUGGAUGCUAAAAACAUAGAAGACAUCUAUUAUUUAUAUUAUCUAUAUACAUCUUUGGGUUUUGGCCAACACUGUGUAGUCAUUGUGAAUGAUCUCAAAGUGCUUUACAAACUACAUAUGCACAGGAAUUCCUUCCAUUCUGAACUGUCUAUCUUUAUGGGGUGGGUGGCAGCCAAGGAGAUAAACAGUGUAUAGCACACUGCACAACACAUGUGAAUUGCUCAAUGUGUAGAGGGAUAUUUGUGGCCAAAGGAACAUGUGGGAGUUCAUCCCCCUACCCAGUGCAUCAUGCUGGAAAAUGUUAAUAUUUUAAAGGUUUGUUUAAACAAAAAUCAGUUGUUUGCUUCAGACAGGUAUGAUCUGAUUUAAUCAAAAAGAGCUAUUACUUUUUCUUUUCUUUUCUUUUCUUUUUUCUUUUAAUAUAACUUUCCAAAGUGUUGCUUUAUCAUUAAGAUCUCUAAAACAUGCCUGUUUCACAAAUUAUUUCUUCUAAACAUCAAAUAUUAAUAACUGAUGCCAUGGUGCACUAAAAGAGAAUGCAUUUGAAUAUCUGAGAGGACAGUAUAUAUAUAGUAUAUAGAGAUUCAUAAUGUUGACUAGUGGACCAAAGUGACAGACAUGAACCAGAAUGAGAAGCGUGAACUGUACAAUCAAAUGUGCUACUUCCAAGCAAGACAGUUUGCCUGAAUUUGUUUCUGGUGUUCUCCAGUGAGGAUUAUACCUGGUUGCAUCCUCUGUCUGCUUUUUACUUCAUAAAUCAUGUUAGAAUUGGGACUAGGACCUACAUCCCCUAAUCUCUGUUUUGUAGUGCCUUGUCUUUUGUAUUUUAGACUCGUUGGGGGCAGAGACAAUCAAUUAUUGUAUGACUGUACAACACCUAGCACAAUGGGAUCUGAACUGGUUGGCCUCUAGCCAUUACCAUUAUUUAAAUGUUAAUUAGUAAUAAUAGUAAUAACUCCAGGUGACUUUCACCAAAGAUUCUUUUAGCAUUGAACUAUUUCCAAAAGAAGACUUCAAAAAGAUGCUUUAAUGCUCCAGAGAGAGGUAUGUUGACUAAAGUAUAGACCCUCAAAGCAAUAUGAAAAAGGGGGAUUGCUAACCUUCAUUUUACAUCAUGUUCUCGCCUUUCUACAUGAUCCUUCUUCCAACUGCUCCUUUUGCAUCCUUCACCACUCUCAUCUUCCCAUCUCCUUCUAGGCUGCCUCUUAGUCUUGCAACAGUCUCUCUCUCUCUCUCUCUCUCUCUCUCUCUCUCUUUUUGUGUGCCAUUUAAGCCACUGUCUCUUUCUUCAGAUCCCUCUUCAGAACAAGUUUCUUCUGCAAGACAUUUCAGAGUUAACCAACCAAAGGAAUUUAAUUGAUAAAAAGAUAGGUUAAAAACACUGAUAAGAAAUAUGUGAAACAAAACAAUAACUAUUAUCUGCUCUCUGUAGAAAAAAACACAUUCCCCCCCAAAACAAGGUCCCCAUUCCACUGUUCACUCUGUCCCACACGCACAAUGAUCUGUUGUGUUGUCGGUCUAAUUUAGACCACUAGAUUCUCUGGGCAUGGACGGUUUUCUGACAUGCACACCUAUGGCACUAUAUAAAUAAUAACAGCACAUAUACCAACAACAUUCUUUUAGCCUAGGCUUGCAUGUGCUCACCAAGGGAUUCAAUGUAUUCGCCCCUCCAUGCUUUGAACUUCAAGUCAAACCAUUCAUGAAGGGGCCACAGAUGGGAAUCAGAGCUGCUGCCUUUGAAUAAAGAUUGGGGAAGCAGAAUUGGGGGGAGGGGG
This 2242-nucleotide long non-coding RNA is filed under the name Chrysemys picta bellii (western painted turtle). RNAcentral's name for it is "lncRNA (ENSCPBG00000012570.1)". The record is from RNAcentral. Lineage: Eukaryota; Metazoa; Chordata; Testudines; Emydidae.